Long non-coding RNA from Heterocephalus glaber (naked mole-rat), 383 nucleotides. The record is from Ensembl. Lineage: Eukaryota; Metazoa; Chordata; Mammalia; Rodentia; Bathyergidae.
AUUCAUAUUCUGUCCAAGACUCCAUGCUACUUCCCCUUAUUCCUAAGCACUGGUGAGAACACAGAUGAUGGAUGACAGUAAGAGCUGCUGUUUUCGAGAGCUGCCAGAUACUGUAAUCUUCUGCGAGGUGAAUCCCAGGCAUAUGUAUAACAAAAAUGUUUCUCAGACAGGAGAAUUACGGCUGGGCCCUGGAGCCAAGGAUCAUGGGAAGAGGGGCAAAUUGAGAACAGGUAAAUAUGUGUUAUGAGAGUAGCUUGCCAGAGAAGUCGACAGAAGGCUAAAUCAGCUGGCUCUCAUACGUUGGGUGAGUGGCUUUCUCUUUCUAAAUUGUGCAUCUUUUUAUGUGAAGAGUACUCACUCAUUGAAUUACUUGGAAAGUCUGC